GGUGAUGUAGCUGAGUUGUAGAGCACUUGUCUAGCAUGCACAAGGCUCUGGGUUCAAUCCAUAGUAUUACUA
Molecule: transfer RNA, 72 nt
Filed under: Fukomys damarensis (Damara mole-rat)
Lineage: Eukaryota; Metazoa; Chordata; Mammalia; Rodentia; Bathyergidae
Rfam family: tRNA
About the family: Transfer RNA (tRNA) molecules are approximately 80 nucleotides in length.
Source: Rfam by way of RNAcentral